CCUGGAGCAAGUCCGCUAGGGCUCGAGGCGGGACCUUCUGGUGCUGGUGGAGAGGCGCUAGGAGCAUCAGAUGGAGAAGGAGCAGCCGAUGGUGGAGUGGUGGCAGGGGCUGGAGUCGCGGCAGGUGGUGGAGUGGUGGCUGGAGCUGGGGUUGCGGCGGGAGGUGGGGUGGCCACUGGAGGAGGAGUAGCGACAGGAGGAGGAGUAGCCACGGGAGGAGGAGGAUUAGCUGUGGGAGUGGGAGCUGGGGCUUGAGCAAGUGCAACUGUGGCGAAGAGAGCCAUUAUCAAAAAAACUUGGACACUUUUGGAACCCAUUUCUC
Molecule: long non-coding RNA, 322 nt
Filed under: Brassica rapa (field mustard)
Lineage: Eukaryota; Viridiplantae; Streptophyta; Magnoliopsida; Brassicales; Brassicaceae
Description: long non-coding RNA (BRAP_LNC000813)
Source: RNAcentral